AGAUGACAAGGCCACCUACCGUCCUCCGAAAAUCAGUUUAUUUUUGACUCUGUGAAGUGGGUAAGGUGACUUCUUGGAGCCAGUACUGGGUUUUGUCUAUAUCUUAACUGUACUGGAUCAUCUCGGCAGAGAAGAAUAAAAUACAGGGUUGAAGUUAUCGUUGCGGAUUUUGACAUUGAUUGGAUGUACUGGAUCAUCUCUGCUGCUCAGAAGAAACAAACUGCUAGUCUAUGUAGUGCGGGUGUAUUAUAAAAGUUUGUGAAAAAGUGGUGUCUGUAGAUAUUUAGGAAACUGUACUGGAUCAUCUGACUCUGAAAAACUU
This is a long non-coding RNA of Macrobrachium nipponense, 322 nucleotides long. RefSeq lists it as uncharacterized. The transcript is spliced from 4 exons. Lineage: Eukaryota; Metazoa; Arthropoda; Malacostraca; Decapoda; Palaemonidae. The record is from RefSeq and is a predicted model, not a curated record.